Canis lupus familiaris (dog) is the source of this 1129-nucleotide long non-coding RNA. RefSeq lists it as uncharacterized. The record is from RefSeq and is a predicted model, not a curated record. Lineage: Eukaryota; Metazoa; Chordata; Mammalia; Carnivora; Canidae. The transcript is spliced from 2 exons.
CCCAGGUCCCCAGGAUCAUGACCUGAGCCAAAGGCAGACACUUAACCAACUGAGCCACCCUGGCGCCCCUAACAUCAUUUUUUCAUGGGAGACUUUCCUGAGGACAUUCCUAGUAAUGUCCCCUUAUGUCACCCUGUACUCCUGUUCCAAAGACUCAUCACACUUAGUACUUUCACUGUUUCUUGUUCUUGCUAGAUUGUAAGCUCUAUGAGGCAGAGACCAAAUUUGCCUUAUUAGAUUCUGUAGCCUCAGUGCCUAGUACAAUAUCGUUUUGAACUGAAAGCUUUUGUAACUGCUGCCUGAUGUCUGGAUUCCAUAGCCAUGGAAAUAAUGGAUCAGAAUCUUGCCUUGUUUAUUGCCCUGCAGUCCAGUUCCAUUGGGCUUUUCUGACAGGCUUUUUCUGCUAUUUCAAUAACCAAUUUCACUAAUAUUUCAGGGUAUUUCAUCAUUCCUUUGAGUAGGGAUCAAAAUGCACACCUCCCUUGAGGCACUUGGGUGGCUCAGUUGGUUGAGCGUCUGACUCUUGAUCUCGGCUCAGGUCACGGUCUCAGUAUCAUGGCUUCAAGCCCUGCGUUGGGCUCCAUGCUGGGUGUGGAGCCUACUUAAAAAAAAAAGCAUAUCUCCCACAUCACAUAGCAGGUUGUGAGGUUAGAACACAGUACCACUGUAUUAUUUGAUAAUUACUAGAAAAGGCUGGUGCUGUUCUCACCUCUUGUAUUGUUUCCAUGAUGCUCACAUACCUCUGAGAACCCCCUGCCCAACAUCGUAUUUGGGGUGGGCAACUGUGGAUCACCAGAUGAUAGGGAGAUUUAAAGGUACCCAGAUUGUUCCUCUCUCAGGUGUCACCUUGGUUUGGUGCACACUUGAGUCGUUUAUAGAUGGAUGGCACAUUUAUUUGUUGGAAGCAGUGAGGCACAGUCAAAUUAACGGUGCAAGCACAAGAGUGGAAGUAACACAGUUGCUCAGGCUCACGAGGCAGGCAUUCAGCAGCCCAAUGUUGGAACCUGAAGUUCAAUGGUGAAAGAAAGCUACAGCUGCCAGAUACCAGCAAUGGAACUGCAGGGGCCACCAGACUUGUUUUUGUUUUUGCAAGUGGCACUAACAACCCAAUAAACUUUCCUUCCUCUGA